Molecule: ribosomal RNA, 253 nt
Filed under: uncultured bacterium
Lineage: Bacteria
Description: partial 16S ribosomal RNA
Rfam family: Bacterial small subunit ribosomal RNA
Source: RNAcentral
UACAGAGGUCUCGAGCGUUGUUCGGAUUCAUUGGGCGUAAAGGGCGCGUAGGCUGCGGGGCAAGUCGGGUGUGAAAUCUCAGAGCUCAACUCUGAAACUGCACUCGAUACUGCUUUGCUUGAGGACUGGAGAGGAGAUUGGAAUUCACGGUGUAGCAGUGAAAUGCGUAGAUAUCGUUUGGAACGCCAAUGGUGAAAACAGGUAGCUGGGAGUGUGCCGACGCUGAGACACGAAAGCCAGGGGAGCGAACGGG